RNAcentral lists this ribosomal RNA (253 nucleotides) under uncultured bacterium. RNAcentral describes it as "partial 16S ribosomal RNA". It matches the Rfam family "Bacterial small subunit ribosomal RNA", at positions 524 to 776 of the family's 1533-position model. The record is from RNAcentral.
UACAGAGGGGGCAAGCGUUGUUCGGAAUUACUGGGCGUAAAGAGCGUGUAGGCGGCCAGGUAGGUCGGUUGUGAAAACUGGAGGCUCAACCUUCAGAGGUCGACCGAAACCAUCUGGCUAGAGUCCGGGAGAGGAGAGUGGAAUUCCUGGUGUAGCGGUGAAAUGCGCAGAUAUCAGGAAGAACACCCGUGGCGAAAGCGGCUCUCUGGAACGGUACUGACGCUGAGACGCGAAAGCGUGGGGAGCGAACAGG